This 751-nucleotide ribosomal RNA is filed under the name uncultured Gammaproteobacteria bacterium. RNAcentral describes it as "bacterial SSU rRNA". It matches the Rfam family "Bacterial small subunit ribosomal RNA", at positions 36 to 765 of the family's 1533-position model. Lineage: Bacteria; Pseudomonadati; Pseudomonadota; Gammaproteobacteria. The record is from RNAcentral.
CUGGCGGCAUGCUUACACAUGCAAGUCGAACGGUAACAGGCCGCUGUGAUCCCUUCGGGGUGAACUUGGCGCUGACGAGUGGCGGACGGGUGAGUAAUGCUUAGGAAUCUACCCAGUAGCGGGGGAUAACUCGAAGAAAUUCGAGCUAAUACCGCAUACGUCCUACGGGAGAAAGCGGGGGACCUUCGGGCCUCGCACUAUUGGAUGAGCCUAAGUCGGAUUAGCUGGUUGGUAGGGUAAAAGCCUACCAAGGCAACGAUCCGUAGCUGGUCUGAGAGGAUGAUCAGCCACACUGGGACUGAGACACGGCCCAGACUCCUACGGGAGGCAGCAGUGGGGAAUAUUGGACAAUGGGCGCAAGCCUGAUCCAGCAAUGCCGCGUGUGUGAAGAAGGCCUGCGGGUUGUAAAGCACUUUUAUUAGGAAAGAAAAACCCGGAGUUAAUAGCUCCGGCAUUGACGGUACCUAAGGAAUAAGCACCGGCUAACUCAGUGCCAGCAGCCGCGGUAAUACUGAGGGUGCGAGCGUUAAUCGGAAUUACUGGGCGUAAAGCGAGUGUAGGCGGCUACCUAAGUCGGAUGUGAAAGCCCUGGGCUUAACCUGGGAAUUGCAUUCGAAACUGAGUAGCUAGAGUCUGAUAGAGGGAAGUGGAAUUCCGGGUGUAGCGGUGAAAUGCGUAGAUAUCCGGAGGAACACCAGUGGCGAAGGCGGCUUCCUGGAUCAAGACUGACGCUGAGGCUCGAAAGCGUGGG